Non-coding RNA from Ceratobasidium sp. UAMH 11750, 99 nucleotides. The record is from the annotation of a GenBank genome assembly. NCBI's taxonomy places the organism in Eukaryota, Fungi, Basidiomycota, Agaricomycetes, Cantharellales, Ceratobasidiaceae.
GCCCUUAUAGCUCAGUGGUAGAGCGUUGCACUUGUAGCGCUGCUUAGUCAGCUUGCUUAUGUAAUGCAAAGGCCUGUCGUUCAAAUCGGCAUGGGGGCA